This 472-nucleotide ribosomal RNA is filed under the name uncultured bacterium. RNAcentral describes it as "bacterial SSU rRNA". It matches the Rfam family "Bacterial small subunit ribosomal RNA", at positions 355 to 825 of the family's 1533-position model. The record is from RNAcentral.
UGGGGAAUAUUGGACAAUGGGCGAAAGCCUGAUCCAGCCAUGCCGCGUGUGUGAAGAAGGUCUUCGGAUUGUAAAGCACUUUAAGUUGGGAGGAAGGGCAGUUACCUAAUACGUGAUUGUUUUGACGUUACCGACAGAAUAAGCACCGGCUAACUCUGUGCCAGCAGCCGCGGUAAUACAGAGGGUGCAAGCGUUAAUCGGAAUUACUGGGCGUAAAGCGCGCGUAGGUGGUUAGUUAAGUUGGAUGUGAAAUCCCCGGGCUCAACCUGGGAACUGCACUCAAAACUGACUGACUAGAGUAUGGUAGAGGGUGGUGGAAUUUCCUGUGUAGCGGUGAAAUGCGUAGAUAUAGGAAGGAACACCAGUGGCGAAGGCGACCACCUGGACUGAUACUGACACUGAGGUGCGAAAGCGUGGGGAGCAAACAGGAUUAGAUACCCAAGUAGUCCCUGAGCGGGCUGGCAAGGCGCAU